UCCAAUUUGGCAGAUAAAUGUGAUAAAUUUAGAAUUUAUUUAAGAAAUUAAAUUCAAUUGGAA
RNAcentral lists this transfer RNA (63 nucleotides) under Haemaphysalis mageshimaensis. Its description in RNAcentral is "tRNA-Leu". The record is from RNAcentral. Lineage: Eukaryota; Metazoa; Arthropoda; Arachnida; Ixodida; Ixodidae.